GUGCUCGCUUCAGCAGCACAUAUACUAAAAUUAGAACGAUAUAGGGAAGAUUAGCAUGGCCCCUGCGCAAGGAUGACAUCCAAAUCACUCCAAAUAUAUUAACUGUAU
Small nuclear RNA from Mastomys coucha (southern multimammate mouse), 108 nucleotides. Lineage: Eukaryota; Metazoa; Chordata; Mammalia; Rodentia; Muridae. The record is from RefSeq and is a predicted model, not a curated record.